This is a non-coding RNA of Peromyscus maniculatus bairdii (prairie deer mouse), 1660 nucleotides long. The record is from RefSeq and is a predicted model, not a curated record. NCBI's taxonomy places the organism in Eukaryota, Metazoa, Chordata, Mammalia, Rodentia, Cricetidae.
CGUGUCCUCACCCUCUGCCCUCCCCAGGGAACUCAAGUGUGGGGAACCAAACCUGUGGCCAGCUGCCUGCACCAUGGCCAGGAGAAGGGGGUUCUGUGAAUACUGCCAGGAGGCCUUUGCUCCCUGGGGUGAGCCCCUUCCCUAAGAGGCAGUCGCUCCCCACACUCUCUGAGGGAGCCCAGUUCGCCAAGGAGCCUUGCCUGCCCAGUCUCCUCUGUGGCAUGUCUAACACCAGAAGCGCUGGCAUCUGGGCUGGUCCCACCCCAGCCUUAUCGAAUGCCCUGCGCCUCCCCCUGGCCAGCAUCCUCCGAGUUUCCAGCACCACGGCUUUGCCACCGCUUUGUGGACAUAACUUUUUGGGGGUCAGACUCCCCAAAUGAGCAGAACCAGUCACAUCCAGAACCCCGAGUGAGGCUGUCAGGGUCCCUGGCUCUGAUUGUGACCCACUCUGUCUUGAGAGUCCACCCCCUGGCCAGCCAUCCCAUCUUAGGGCAGCAUCUCCUGGGAUGAAGAAGGAAAGUGGCGGCCAGACUCCGGGUGUCCCAGAGCAGAAGGGGACAGUGGACAGCACAAAGGCACCAGCUGACCCUGCAGUGGCUUGGUGAGGUGCCAGGACCAGAAGCAAGAUGUCUGGGGGACCAGCUGGUUUGCUUGUGCCCCCCUCCCAAGACCCCAUUCUCUGGCAGCCCUCAGAGAGACCAGCAAGGUCUUGGACCAUCCAGUCUCCCGGGCCUUUGGGAAGAUGGCCCCUGGAAUCUGAGGAUUCUGAGUGUGCGGCCCUCGGCGCUCUUUGCCAGCAGGCUGACCAGCUCCCCGGCUGCACCCCGAGUCUCCAGCCUGCUGUCAGCCCACUGGUACCCAACAGCAGGCGGGCCUGCCGAUGCCCAGUCCCCAUCGCUCUCCCCCUUGCUUGCCCAGCCGGUGUAGGAUCCCAUUGCUCCGGUAACUUUGGGGGCCCCAGCCUCUCCAAGUGUCUGGUCUCCUGGGCCCGGCCCCUGCUCGGCGCUGGCAGACUGCUGCUCCUGUGAAUCCCGGAGACAGCUCCUAACUGCAGGGUCAGAGUCGGGGGGGGGGGGCACCUGUGCUGGUGCUGCCCACUGACCAGGGCUCACUGGGACAGCAGGAGGACCAAAGCCCGAGACCACCCCGGAAGAGCCAGGGGGCGCAGGCCUUUGGGGGGUCGGUAAAGCGGCUGUGGUACUCAGCUCUGUGGUGCAAAAGCACUGCCAGGCUGCCGGGUCUUUGCCUGGAGGAGUCUGGACUGGGAAUGCCCUCUGCCUCCAUCCACGGACGAGACCGGACAGAACUCUGCAGUAGGCUUGCCCAGCCACAGCUAGCCGCCCACAGGGACAAGGUUGGCGUGAGAGGGACCACAGAGGAGCUGGAGCAGUGGCCCAGCUUCCUGCCUCCACCACCCCACCCCACCCCCACCGAGCACUUGCCUCUUUUCAGAGCCAAGGGUUAGCUGGUGCUGCCCACCCCCACGGCAGCCUCCUUUCCCACAAGCAUGUGGUCUCUCCUGCGUUCUGAAAUGGCUGUUUGUGUCCCCUCCCCCACCCCCCCACGCUCACGCGGAUCCUCGGGGAAACAUGAAGCAGAGGAGGGCUUGGGCUGUGGUGCCUCCCAGCCUUGGCGCCCCCAUGCACUUAGCCGGAACCCA